GUCUAUGGCGAUACCACCCUGAACGCGCCCGAUCUCGUCUGAUCUCAGAAGCUAAGCAGGGUCGGGGCUGGUUAGUACUUGGAUGGGAAAAUCCUGAGCGAAACAAGAUAAUGGGAACA
Molecule: ribosomal RNA, 119 nt
Filed under: Neogale vison (American mink)
Lineage: Eukaryota; Metazoa; Chordata; Mammalia; Carnivora; Mustelidae
Source: RNAcentral